This 429-nucleotide ribosomal RNA is filed under the name Pseudomonadota bacterium. RNAcentral describes it as "Proteobacteria bacterium partial 16S ribosomal RNA". It matches the Rfam family "Bacterial small subunit ribosomal RNA", at positions 355 to 776 of the family's 1533-position model. Lineage: Bacteria; Pseudomonadati; Pseudomonadota. The record is from RNAcentral.
UGGGGAAUAUUGGACAAUGGGCGAAAGCCUGAUCCAGCCAUGCCGCGUGUGUGAAGAAGGUCUUCGGAUUGUAAAGCACUUUAAGUUGGGAGGAAGGGCAGUAAGCGAAUACCUUGCUGUUUUGACGUUACCGACAGAAUAAGCACCGGCUAACUCUGUGCCAGCAGCCGCGGUAAUACAGAGGGUGCAAGCGUUAAUCGGAAUUACUGGGCGUAAAGCGCGCGUAGGUGGUUCGUUAAGUUGAAUGUGAAAGCCCCGGGCUCAACCUGGGAACUGCAUCCAAAACUGGCGAGCUAGAGUAGGGCAGAGGGUGGUGGAAUUUCCUGUGUAGCGGUGAAAUGCGUAGAUAUAGGAAGGAACACCAGUGGCGAAGGCGACCACCUGGGCUCAUACUGACACUGAGGUGCGAAAGAGUGGGGAGCAAACAGG